GCUAAACAGCUGGGGUCCUCUGGGGAGGUGGCGCCCCCAGAAUAAGGACAGUUCUGUCCCGGGCCAGCAGCUGUCACCUGAGAAAGACUGAGAUGCCCCCACCAGGCGACAAGGCGUGUUGUGCCCAGACGGGCAGGGCUCGGAUUCCGCCCUGAGAAUGACAAUCUCCAGAUCCAUCCACAUUGCUGCAAAUGGCAUCGUUUUAUUCUUUUUUAUGGCCGAGUAGUAUUCCAUUGUAUAAAUAUACCACAGCUUCUUUAUCCAGUCGUCUGUCAGUGGACAUGCAGGUUGCGUCCAUGUCUUGGCUGUUGUAAGUAGUGCUGCUGUGAAUAUUGGGGAGCAUGUAUCAUUUCGAAUUAGAGUUCUCUCCAGAUAUACGCCCAGGAGUGGGAUCGCUGGAUCAUAGGGAAGUCUCCUCGGAUUGUCUAAUCUUGAAGUCGGGUUGGGGUCGCCCCAUGUGCUCCCACAGAGCCCUGGCAGACCCCGACAUCGACCUUUACCUCGCUUCGUUGUCAUCACGGGCUCACCUGGAUCCUCUGCUGGAAUGAGGGAGACUGAGCACUCUGAAGGCAGGGACCCUGGCUCCCAGCACACAGCGGCUGCUCAGCGGAUGUCUACCAAACGGACACCCAAAUCUCACCCACAUCCCUGGGCAGAGCUUUCCUGGAGCUCUUGUGGGCACAAGUGUGUCCUUCGCUGCCCAAGAAGUCUGAAGGGCAGGGAUCCUGUUACCCCAAAGCUGGGUUCACCUCUUGGUGCGUGUGGAGACAAAAGCACAAAGCUCGGGGAAGUAAGGAGAACACGGAGAUCCUUCCCAAAGCUGCGUCUCCCCGCACGGCAGGGUGGGGGGGUUUUAGGCUAAGGGCACGUUCGUGCAGGGGCUUGGGCGGCAGGCAGAGUCUAAGCUUCACUGGACUGAAGUCCCGCGGCUCAGGGAAGGCCAACAUCCCUCCUCCCCGAGGUCCCGGCUGACCUGGGGGUUGAGCCUUCAGGCCAGUCUUUCCCCUUGAAGCAGAGCUGGAGUCUUCACAGCUGAUGUGUUGUCCUGUUGUUACCUCUCUUGUCUGAUGACCGUUGUCCUCUUGUUCCCUAAGAUCAUACUCCUGAGAGCUGUCCUAGGCAGGCGUUGGGACCCGCCUUAGAUCCCAGAGUGGCUUAGGCCAAAAAUGGCUCCUCUUAUGUCAAAACUCCAUGCCUGGCUCUCUCUCCCCGUGGACCCCUACCCUAUCUGCUCACAGUCCUUUCUGUGGUAACAGGACAGCUCGUUUCCGUGAACUGACGUCUGAGCGCAAGUCCAGUUGUCGGGACAGAGGCGGGCACCUUGUCUUGGUGGUCGUCGUGUGGGGAGGGAGGUGGCUGGGCGGACACUUUCCUGGACUCGGCCUGGAAGCACGGCUUCCUGUCACCUCUGGAGCAGUCUGAGGGGUUUUCUUUUCUAAAAUUUAAAAAUUUUACUUUUUUAUUGACGUGUAGUUGGUUUAUAAUGUUAGUUCCAGGUGCACAGUAAGUGAUUCAGUUCUGUGUAUACACAUAUUUUUCUUUUCAGACUCUUUUUCAUUAUAUGUUGUUACAAGACAUUGAACGUAGCUCCCUGUGCUUUACCGUGGGACCCUG
Long non-coding RNA from Camelus dromedarius (Arabian camel), 1614 nucleotides. RefSeq lists it as uncharacterized. NCBI's taxonomy places the organism in Eukaryota, Metazoa, Chordata, Mammalia, Artiodactyla, Camelidae. The transcript has 3 exons. The record is from RefSeq and is a predicted model, not a curated record.